Long non-coding RNA from Drosophila navojoa, 333 nucleotides. The record is from RefSeq and is a predicted model, not a curated record. Lineage: Eukaryota; Metazoa; Arthropoda; Insecta; Diptera; Drosophilidae.
UUUGUUUGCCUUUAUUUUAAAUGUGACUGAGACGCUGACGUCGCUGCUGGCGUCAACGGCACAAACGCGUCGCUUGCGCUUACUCACAAUCAAAUCUCACGCCGCAUUUUUAGUCUCAAUUUGUUUGUGCUUCAAUAAUAACUGAAACGUAAAACUCACGCGGCUAAAGCGACGAAUCCGUCAACCAGCGGCAACCCAACAACAACAAGAAAUAAAACAAGCAAAAGGCAAACCAAACGAUACGAAUGCCGAAGCAAAGCGUGUGUGUAACAUAAAUGCAAAACGUGCAAAUCAAGCAAAGUGUGCAAAAUAAGCAAGCCAAAGGAAAAAAAA